This 481-nucleotide ribosomal RNA is filed under the name uncultured bacterium. Its description in RNAcentral is "partial 16S ribosomal RNA". It matches the Rfam family "Bacterial small subunit ribosomal RNA", at positions 28 to 523 of the family's 1533-position model. The record is from RNAcentral.
GAUGAACGCUGGCGGCGUGCUUAACACAUGCAAGUCGAACGGAAAGGAUCCCUUCGGGGAUUACUCGAGUGGCGAACGGGUGAGUAACACGUGGGUGAUCUGCCCUGCACUUCGGGAUAAGCCUGGGAAACUGGGUCUAAUACCGGAUAGGACCACAUUUUGGAUGGUGUGGUGGAAAGUUUUUUCGGUGUGGGAUGAGCUCGCGGCCUAUCAGCUUGUUGGUGGGGUAAUGGCCUACCAAGGCGUCGACGGGUAGCCGGCCUGAGAGGGUGUACGGCCACAUUGGGACUGAGAUACGGCCCAGACUCCUACGGGAGGCAGCAGUGGGGAAUAUUGCACAAUGGGCGCAAGCCUGAUGCAGCGACGCCGCGUGGGGGAUGACGGCCUUCGGGUUGUAAACUCCUUUCGCUAGGGACGAAGCGUUAUGUGACGGUACCUGGAGAAGAAGCACCGGCUAACUACGUGCCAGCAGCCGCGGUAA